RNAcentral lists this long non-coding RNA (3329 nucleotides) under Sus scrofa (pig). RNAcentral describes it as "lncRNA (ENSSSCG00000062533.1)". The record is from RNAcentral. Lineage: Eukaryota; Metazoa; Chordata; Mammalia; Artiodactyla; Suidae.
UCACAAAGUAAAAAAUAGAACGACAUUAUGCUCCAGCAAUCCUUCUUCCUGGUAUGUAUAGGAGGGCCUUCCUCCUGCCCCUUUUGAAGUGCUGAGGGCUUUGGCCUGAUGGGUGAACCUGUUGGUGGGGAGAGAGUUGCAGGAAGCCUAGCACCCAGGGCUGAACUUUCUGGGUCUGUUGCUCUGGGUCCAUGGGAUGUACAAUCUUGGCUCCACGAAACCCCCACUCUAUCUGCAGUCCAUGGCCUCCCCCCUGUAUGGUGUGCUGCAGGCACCGCAGUCACUGGCCAUUCCCCCCACCCCACAGCUGCCUUCCCAGUGGAAACCCUGAGUGUGGGCUGCUGUGCCAAACUGGCCAAGGUCAUCACAAUGAGGUGCUGGUGAUGCACCAGGAGGUUCAAGUCCUGCACAGCUAACUGCCUGGGCAGUAUGAGGACAGCAGUGAGAUGUCUGAGAUGGAGAUGCCCUGUGACCAGGUGUGGGCAACACACUGGAGGUGCCUGUGGGCUCCAGGCUCAACCUCACAGGCCUGGGCUACUUCUCCUGGCACUGCCACCAUGGUCCAGGAAUACCCCUAUUUCUUCCUCCUCAGGUGAGCCGUGUACAUUGUGCCCACCACCCCUUUGGCCUGUUGGCAUGACCAGCCGAGGUCACCUUUAUCUGGAGCACGGUGGCACCCUACUCCAUUCUUUCCUGCUCUUCCUGGCAUCUCUACAGAGAUCCUGGCUCCCUCUGUCUGAGGCUGUUGGAUAAACAGGGAUUAUUCCUCUGCUUAAAGGACAGAAGAGUGUUUUAGGCAUAAGCUCAAGGUGGUUGUAUACAACAAACAGCCAGGCCCUUCCCAAUAGCAAGGGUUUAUGGGCGGGGGAGCUGCUGGGGGAAAACCCUGGACAGUGUGCUUUAAGGAAUGGAAAGGUAAAUCCAGCAGGAGGCCCUCUCUGUUUGAGGUCCAUGAAAGCUGGUUUGUGCUCCAGAUGAAAUGAUUGUGGAUGAGAAUUCAGGCAAUGGGUUGGUUGCAUGGAAGCUGACUACCAGGUGGAACCCUAACAUCUGUGGAAUCAUAUUUCCAACUGGAUUCAGUGGGAGUCAUUUGGGAUGGAUGAUUGGCAAAAGAAAACAAAAACAUUUUGAGGGGUUCCCGUGGUGGCUCAAAACAAACUAGUAUCCAGGAGGAUGCAGGUUUGAUCCCUGGCCUUGCUUGGGUGGGUUAAGGAUCUGGCAUUGUGGUGAGCUGUGGUGUAGUUUGCAGAUGUGGCAUGGAACUGGCAUUGAUGUGGCUGUGCCAUAGGCCAGCAACUCCAGCUCUGAUUAGAUAUCUGGUCUGGGAACUUCCAUAUACUGAGUGUGUGGCCUUAAAAAGGAAAACAUAAAUGAAAAGCAAGAACACUUUGGAAUCACACCAUUGUUGUAAUUAGGGUUCUGCUCUUCCUGUAACUUUGAGCAAGUUACCUUAUUGAGAAUUUAGUAGCCUCCCAUUUGUAGUGGGAAAAAGAAGGUUGGUUGAGACUAAAACCUAGGACCUCGUGCAGAACAUCAGGUGCAGGUUCGAUGCUGAAGGAAUCAUCACUCUUCUGCUCACAUGUUUCAGUGUCAAGCUGGAAUGUGUGGAAUGCAAUGCAGCUGUCCUCUUGUUUUCACUUAUUUGAGUACAUAUCUCCUGCCAACAGACCUCAGGGCCAGGCUUUUCCUAUCGCAAAACUUCGAGGGGCCUUGGGGGGUGGUUAGGGCCUGGGUGGGUAAGACCCUGUGUCAUGGGGCUUUGAAAACUAUGGGGAUGAGUUAGGUAGGAGCCCUCUCUGAUUGGAGAUUCCUGGAACAUUGUACAGUUCCAUGAAAUUUGGCCUGUGGCCAUGAUGACAUGCCUGUGGAUAAGAAUUCCUACAAUGGGUUUCACUGAAGUUUGAGAUAAAAAGCAGGAAGUGGAACCCUAAAUGGAAAGAUUGUCUCCAGUUGAAGGGGCAGAUUGAUGCAGAGUGAUGAAGAGGAAGCUCAGAAUGGAAUCCCCAGCUUCUGUCAAGAUAGCAAAUGAAUGAAUCCACAGUUGCAAUGGGCAGUAGUUCCAUUCUUCCCAGUUCUUUGAGUAGCAUUAGGGAUAUUGACCAUGGCAUUGGCCUGCAUACUCGCUUUUGGCUCUUGAGAUCUCAUGUCCCUGAGAACAAAAACAGUAAAUUCCACAGAGGGAUGUCAUAAGCUCAUGGCAACAUAUGUUUUCCAUACUGAAGACAGAAUGUCUAAGUUUAGAAUACAUGGUGUGUUGCGUGUUAACUUGGGUAGUUUACCUAGAUUAAGUUGGAGUUUUAAAAACUUGAUGAGAAGUAACAGUUUCUAAAUAAAGUCAUUGAGAGGUGAGACAGUACCCUUCUUGAUAAAGAGAAACUUAACUGAGAUUUUUUUCAUGGUUUUCUUUAGAUAAAACACUGGGAACCCAGAUAUAAAACUACUCAAUAUGAAAACUUUAUUUUCCAAAGGAAAAAAAAAAGAGCUGGAGAACUUGAGAAGACAUUCUUUUCCAGUUUUUUUCAUGGAAUACAGUUGUGUCCACCUGCUCUGUGGAGGUUGGCCACCUCUUUCCUCUUUUGCUCUGACACAUUUAUCAAAUGUUAGGGCAGAAAUAGAGAGUCAAAUGGGACUCUGACAGAUUUCUCCCUCCCAGGGCUGGAAUGCCCUGAAAUGUCUGCAUGAGGGCUUACAUGUCAUACCUCCUGUGUUACUCUGGGACCCACUGAGAAGUGGACAGAUUAUGGUUGGUGUCACAGGAGAAAGCUUCAGUGGAGCCUCACCAAGGAGCCUCACAUGCCCUCUCUGGGCUAGAGUGUAACUCCAUCCCUUCCUUUCCUUUCCUUGAUGGCUUUCUCUUGCCAACAGCCCUUUACCCCAGGCUCUGUAAAAGUGUUGACUUUGUACUGCACUCCCUGUGUGCCAUACACCUUACUUUUAUUUAUUUACUUAUCUUUUUAGGGCCACACCCACAGCAUAUGGAGGUUCCUGGACUAGGGGUCAAAUGGGAGCUGUAGCUGCCAGCUUGCACCACACUCACAGCAACACCAGAUCCAAGCCAUGUCUGUGACGUACACAGAAGCUCUCAGCAGCACUGGAUCCUUAAGCCACUGAGGAAGGCUGGAGAUUUAACCCGCACCCCCAUGGAUACUAGUCAGGUUCAUUACCACUGAGUCACAAUUGCAACUCUUAACACCUUACUUUUUAAAAUGCAAUCCUUCAAAGUUCCCUUGUGGUCCAGUGGGAUAAGUUUUGCCACAGCUGUUACACAGAGGUCAGAACGGUAUGGGUUUGAAUCCCUGGUCCAGGAAUUUUCACAUGCCAUGUGUAUG